This 1358-nucleotide ribosomal RNA is filed under the name uncultured bacterium. RNAcentral describes it as "bacterial SSU rRNA". It matches the Rfam family "Bacterial small subunit ribosomal RNA", at positions 28 to 1381 of the family's 1533-position model. The record is from RNAcentral.
GAUGAACGCUAGCUACAGGCUUAACACAUGCAAGUCGAGGGGCAGCAUGGUCUUAGCUUGCUAAGGCCGAUGGCGACCGGCGCACGGGUGAGUAACACGUAUCCAACCUGCCGUCUACUCUUGGACAGCCUUCUGAAAGGAAGAUUAAUACAAGAUGGCAUCAUGAGUCCAUAUGUUCACAUGAUUAAAGGUAUUCCGGUAGACGAUGGGGAUGCGUUCCAUUAGAUAGUAGGCGGGGUAACGGCCCACCUAGUCUUCGAUGGAUAGGGGUUCUGAGAGGAAGGUCCCCCACAUUGGAACUGAGACACGGUCCAAACUCCUACGGGAGGCAGCAGUGAGGAAUAUUGGUCAAUGGGCGAGAGCCUGAACCAGCCAAGUAGCGUGAAGGAUGACUGCCCUAUGGGUUGUAAACUUCUUUUAUAAAGGAAUAAAGUCGGGUAUGGAUACCCGUUUGCAUGUACUUUAUGAAUAAGGAUCGGCUAACUCCGUGCCAGCAGCCGCGGUAAUACGGAGGAUCCGAGCGUUAUCCGGAUUUAUUGGGUUUAAAGGGAGCGUAGAUGGAUGUUUAAGUCAGUUGUGAAAGUUUGCGGCUCAACCGUAAAAUUGCAGUUGAUACUGGAUAUCUUGAGUGCAGUUGAGGCAGGCGGAAUUCGUGGUGUAGCGGUGAAAUGCUUAGAUAUCACGAAGAACUCCGAUUGCGAAGGCAGCCUGCUAAGCUGCAACUGACAUUGAGGCUCGAAAGUGUGGGUAUCAAACAGGAUUAGAUACCCUGGUAGUCCACACGGUAAACGAUGAAUACUCGCUGUUUGCGAUAUACAGCAAGCGGCCAAGCGAAAGCGUUAAGUAUUCCACCUGGGGAGUACGCCGGCAACGGUGAAACUCAAAGGAAUUGACGGGGGCCCGCACAAGCGGAGGAACAUGUGGUUUAAUUCGAUGAUACGCGAGGAACCUUACCCGGGCUUAAAUUGCAGAUGAAUUACGGUGAAAGCCGUAAGCCGCAAGGCAUCUGUGAAGGUGCUGCAUGGUUGUCGUCAGCUCGUGCCGUGAGGUGUCGGCUUAAGUGCCAUAACGAGCGCAACCCUUGUUGUCAGUUACUAACAGGUUCCGCUGAGGACUCUGACAAGACUGCCAUCGUAAGAUGUGAGGAAGGUGGGGAUGACGUCAAAUCAGCACGGCCCUUACGUCCGGGGCUACACACGUGUUACAAUGGGGGGUACAGAGGGCCGCUACCACGCGAGUGGAUGCCAAUCCCAAAAACCUCUCUCAGUUCGGACUGGAGUCUGCAACCCGACUCCACGAAGCUGGAUUCGCUAGUAAUCGCGCAUCAGCCACGGCGCGGUGAAUACGUUCCCGGGCCU